CAAAUUCUAUGUUCUUUCCACUGACUUGUGAUGUCCUUAGCCUUUUGAUGAGGAAUCUGUGCCCUCAGAAGAGGCUGAGUGAUUUGUCAAAGGUCACACAGCCUACCCUGCCAGGAGUGGAGUAACAAGAUGCCACAGGAGGAGAAAAAUCUGUUCUUACAGCUGCAUUUGUGGUUCAACUAGAAGCAGGAAAUAGUAUAAAUCUCAUGACAGAAAUUUGGGGUAUUUUAAUGUUGACAGGCACACGGUGUGUGUGUAAUAUGUGUGUCCUGCCACUUUAAAAGCCAAACUCCCAACCACUGCAGACCAUUAAAAGCCAGGUGUUACUUCCCUGCUGGAGUCCAAGGCGAGUUUGGGGAGAUCAUUCCUUAAGACCGUGACCAGAUGGAUUCUACAGGAUGGGGAAGAGGUCCAUGCUUCAUCAUGAGAUGAAGGCCAGUCUAGCAAAAAAUCA
RNAcentral lists this long non-coding RNA (454 nucleotides) under Monodelphis domestica (gray short-tailed opossum). RNAcentral's name for it is "lncRNA (ENSMODG00000033180.2)". Lineage: Eukaryota; Metazoa; Chordata; Mammalia; Didelphimorphia; Didelphidae. The record is from RNAcentral.